This 608-nucleotide ribosomal RNA is filed under the name uncultured bacterium. RNAcentral describes it as "bacterial SSU rRNA". It matches the Rfam family "Bacterial small subunit ribosomal RNA", at positions 34 to 644 of the family's 1533-position model. The record is from RNAcentral.
CGCUGGCGGCGUGCCUUAUACAUGCAAGUCGUACGCGAACGGGACCUUCGGGUCCCUAGUAGAGUGGCGGACGGGUGAGUAACACGUGAGCAACCUGCCUUGGAGUGGGGGAUAACCUUUCCAACGGAGGGCUAAUACCGCAUAUGGCGAUAGUGGGACAUCCCACAGUCGUGAAAGCUUCCGAGCGCUCCUUGAUGGGCUCGCGUCCUAUUAGGUAGUUGGUGAGGUAACGGCUCACCAAGCUUACGAUGGGUAGCCGACCUGAGAGGGUGACCGGCCACACUGGGACUGAGAUACGGCCCAGACUCCUACGGGAGGCAGCAGUAGGGAAUAUUGCGCAAUGGGCGAAAGCCUGACGCAGCAACGCCGCGUGGAGGACAAAGCCCUUCGGGGUGUAAACUCCUUUCAGGGGGGACGAAACCUGCUCAGCAGCUGACGGUACCCCCAGAAGAAGCUCCGGCUAACUCCGUGCCAGCAGCCGCGGUAAUACGGGGGGAGCAAGCGUUGUCCGGAAUCACUGGGCGUAAAGGGUGCGUAGGCGGGGAUGCAAGUCCGUGGUGAAAACUGACGGCUCAACUGUCAGCCUGCCGCGGAUACUGCUUCUCUUG